This 485-nucleotide ribosomal RNA is filed under the name uncultured bacterium. RNAcentral describes it as "partial 16S ribosomal RNA". It matches the Rfam family "Bacterial small subunit ribosomal RNA", at positions 899 to 1397 of the family's 1533-position model. The record is from RNAcentral.
ACUCAAAUGAAUUGACGGGGGCCCGCACAAGCAGCGGAGCGUGUGGUUUAAUUCGAUGCGACGCGCAGAACCUUACCAGGGCUCGACACCCCGGGUUCAGCGGGUGAAAGCCCGUGCCCCGCGAGGGGGACCGGGGCAGGUGCUGCAUGGCUGUCGUCAGCUCGUGCCGUGAGGUGUUGGGUUAAGUCCCGCAACGAGCGCAACCCCCGCCGCUAGUUGGUUCUCUAGCGGGACUGCCGGGACCAACCCGGAGGAAGGUGGGGACGACGUCAAGUCAGCACGGCCCUCACGCCCUGGGCCACACACACGCUACAAUGGCCGGUACAGCGGGAGCUGCCAAGCCGCGAGGCGGAGCCGAUCCCAGCAAAGCCGGCCCCAGUCCGGAUCGGGGGCUGCAACCCGCCCCCGUGAAGCCGGAGUUGCUAGUAACCGCGGGUCAGCACACCGCGGUGAAUACGUUCCCGGGCCUUGUACACACCGCCCGU